UACGGAGGGUGCGAGCGUUGUUCGGAAUUACUGGGCGUAAAGCGCGUGUAGGCGGUUUUUUAAGUCUGAUGUGAAAGCCCUGGGCUCAACCUGGGAAGUGCAUUGGAAACUGGGAGACUAGAAUACGGGAGAGGGGGGUGGAAUUCCUGGUGUAGGGGUGAAAUGCGUAGAUAUCAGGAGGAACACCGGUGGCGAAGGCGGCUGCCUGGACCGAUAUUGACGCUCAGACGCGAAAGCGUGGGGAGCAAACAGG
RNAcentral lists this ribosomal RNA (253 nucleotides) under uncultured prokaryote. RNAcentral describes it as "partial 16S ribosomal RNA". It matches the Rfam family "Bacterial small subunit ribosomal RNA", at positions 524 to 776 of the family's 1533-position model. The record is from RNAcentral.